AGGUUAAUGAUAAAAUGUUUUCCGCGGUAAAAACAGGCAGAUCGUCAAGACGCCGUGAAUACAUCCUUGUCGGCUCGUUCCGCCCCAUCCCUAGCGCGGGCGCUU
Molecule: non-coding RNA, 105 nt
Filed under: Yersinia ruckeri
Lineage: Bacteria; Pseudomonadati; Pseudomonadota; Gammaproteobacteria; Enterobacterales; Yersiniaceae
Source: RNAcentral